AACGCUAUUAUUAAUUCAAAAUAUUGGCCACAUAAUCCAGGUCUGAGUACUUCAGAAGAAAAAAAUAGACCCAAUGUCUUGAUAAUAUUUAUAUGUCUUCAUUUCAUUUUCAUAUUCUGUCUUUGACCACUGCUGUUUUUAGUGACAGAUAACAUUCUUAAUGGAGAAUAUUUGUGGAAAAUAUUUACUAUGAUCUGAAUGCUUGUUUUUCUCCUCACCUCCAUAUAUAUGUUGAAAUUUUAACCCCCAAAGUUGAGGGUCUCAGGAGAUGGGGCCUUUGGUGGUGAUUAGGUCACCAGGGUGGAAGCCUCAUGAAGAGACCCCACAGAGCUUCCUAGCUCCUUCCUCUGAACAGUGAGAAAACCCCAGCUCUGAACCAGAAGAGGUCCUAGAACAUGACCAUGCUGGUGCCUUGCUCUUGAAAUUCCCAGCUUCCAGAAUUGUGAGCAAUAAGUUUUUGCUGUUUAUAAGCUGCUCAGUCUGUGGUAUUUUAUUAUAGCAGCACGAACAGACUGAGACCAUAUAAAAUGAAUUAUUAUUCUUUCCUUUGGUGGCAUAUAACCUCCUCCUUGUCAGCUUCUAGGAGAUGAAUUGACUUAAUCAGGACUUUGCUGAUACCACAGUCUUUGGCAGGACUUCGUGGCUCAUUGCUGAUCCCAGGAAAAGACUGAGAGCCUACAAAUGAAGUUUUCAAUAUUUGUGGAAAGAGAAUCAACAAAUGCUGAGUCACAGUGUUCCUGCAUUCCACAUCCUUGCUGCUGGGCCGUUGCUGCAGGCAGCCAUGGCCACUGACGCAGAACAUGCCAGGCUCCAGUGAGAGCUCUUGCUGCAAUCCUCAGCACAGAAAGAACUCUCCAGAACAGAGAGAGAGAAAGAGAGGAAGACUGUGUGGAAGAGGGCAGAGCCUUAAAAAGAGCCUUAAGCAGGCUCCAUGCCCCGUGUGGAACUUGUUGCAGGGCUUGAUCUCAUGGCCCUGAGAUCAUGACCUGAGCCAAAAUCAAGAGUCUGACACUUAACCAACUGAGUC
Long non-coding RNA from Mustela lutreola (European mink), 1027 nucleotides. RefSeq lists it as uncharacterized. The record is from RefSeq and is a predicted model, not a curated record. NCBI's taxonomy places the organism in Eukaryota, Metazoa, Chordata, Mammalia, Carnivora, Mustelidae. The transcript is spliced from 3 exons.